Molecule: ribosomal RNA, 539 nt
Filed under: uncultured bacterium
Lineage: Bacteria
Description: bacterial SSU rRNA
Rfam family: Bacterial small subunit ribosomal RNA
Source: RNAcentral
AGACAAUAGAUACCCUGGUAGUCCACGCCCUAAACGAUCAUAACUGGCUAUAAGGAGUAUCGACCCUCUUUGUGGCGAAAGCUAACGCGUUAAGUUAUGCGCCUGGGUAGUACGAUCGCAAGAUUAAAACUCAAAGGAAUAGACGGGGACUUGCACAAGCGGUGGAUCAUGCGGCUCAAUUCGAUGAUAAACGAAAAACCUCACCAGGGUUUGAAACCCAGACGAAACCCCUAGGAAACUAGGGGCCCCGCAAGGCGGCUGGGCAGGUGAUGCAUGGUCGUCGUCAGUUCGUGGCUUGAGUUGUUCCCUUCAGUGGGGUAACGAACGCAACCCGCGUUGCCUGUUUUACAAGUCAGGCGAGACUGCCCCCUCACGGGGGUAGGAAGGUGCGGAUGACGCCAGAUCAGCAUGUCCCUCUGAUAUCCUGGGGCUGCACGCAUGAUACAAUGCACAUGACAACGGGUUCGCGACGGGGUUAACCCCUGAGCCAAUCCUCAUAACAUGUGCCCAGUUCGGAUUGAGGUCUGCAACUCGACCUC